This 533-nucleotide ribosomal RNA is filed under the name uncultured bacterium. RNAcentral describes it as "bacterial SSU rRNA". It matches the Rfam family "Bacterial small subunit ribosomal RNA", at positions 976 to 1509 of the family's 1533-position model. The record is from RNAcentral.
CGGCCUUGACAUACUAAGAACUUUCCAGAGAUGGAUUGGUGCCUUCGGGAACUUAGAUACAGGUGCUGCAUGGCUGUCGUCAGCUCGUGUCGUGAGAUGUUGGGUUAAGUCCCGNAACGAGCGCAACCCUUUUCCUAUUUGCCAGCGGGUCAUGCCGGGAACUUUAAGGAUACUGCCAGUGACAAACUGGAGGAAGGCGGGGACGACGUCAAGUCAUCAUGGCCCUUACGGCCAGGGCUACACACGUGCUACAAUGGUCGGUACAAAGGGUUGCUACCUCGCGAGAGGAUGCUAAUCUCAAAAAGCCGAUCGUAGUCCGGAUCGCAGUCUGCAACUCGACUGCGUGAAGUCGGAAUCGCUAGUAAUCGCGGAUCAGAAUGCCGCGGUGAAUACGUUCCCGGGCCUUGUACACACCGCCCGUCACACCAUGGGAGUUUGUUGCACCAGAAGUAGGUAGUCUAACCGCAAGGAGGACGCUUACCACGGUGUGGCCGAUGACUGGGGUGAAGUCGUAACAAGGUAAGCGUAGAUGA